This 203-nucleotide long non-coding RNA is filed under the name Ricinus communis (castor bean). RNAcentral's name for it is "long non-coding RNA (RCOM_LNC002369)". The record is from RNAcentral. Lineage: Eukaryota; Viridiplantae; Streptophyta; Magnoliopsida; Malpighiales; Euphorbiaceae.
UAAAAUUCUACUGAAAUUUUCGUCUCGGAAGGGGGAGGGAUGCCAGAGAGGAGCGGAGGGUGGUGGCCUAAAAAGAAGAAAUUAAAAAUGCAAAAUAAAAAAAAUAAAACAAAUAGACUUACCUAGGCGACUACGGCGGCGGUGGAGGCGAAACUGGAAAAAGGGGAAGGGGGAGGUGGAGGGGAAGAAAGGGGAGUAGGAGG